CAAGGACCCGGUACACACACAAACCUAUCCUUUGUCUAUAAUGUACACAUACAUAUGUUUCCUGCAAGCAACAUGUGCAUUCAUCUCAUGUAGGACUGAAAGAGAAGGCCGUUGUCGUCACUUCCCGUAAAGAAGAAGCCGCUGUCCCCAGUGGAGACUCCUGAUGCUGAACCUACACCAGAAGCUGUUAUUGAGCCUGAGCCUGAGCCUGUGGAAGAUGUGAUUGAAGCUGCUGUAGCAGAGGACACUUCUGCACCUGCACCAGAGCCUGAACCUGAGGUAGCAGCUGAGCCUGAGCCCGAACCAGAGCCUGACCAGAGCUGA
RNAcentral lists this long non-coding RNA (324 nucleotides) under Sander lucioperca (pikeperch). RNAcentral's name for it is "lncRNA (ENSSLUG00000003936.1)". Lineage: Eukaryota; Metazoa; Chordata; Actinopteri; Perciformes; Percidae. The record is from RNAcentral.